UUAAGCGACUAAGCGUACACGGUGGAUGCCCUGGCAGUCAGAGGCGAUGAAGGACGUGCUAAUCUGCGAUAAGCGUCGGUAAGGUGAUAUGAACCGUUAUAACCGGCGAUUUCCGAAUGGGGAAACCCAGUGUGAUUCGUCACACUAUCAUUAACUGAAUCCAUAGGUUAAUGAGGCGAACCGGGGGAACUGAAACAUCUAAGUACCCCGAGGAAAAGAAAUCAACCGAGAUUCCCCCAGUAGCGGCGAGCGAACGGGGAGCAGCCCAGAGCCUGAAUCAGUGUGUGUGUUAGUGGAAGCGUCUGGAAAGGCGUGCGAUACAGGGUGACAGCCCCGUACACAAAAAUGCACAUACUGUGAGCUCGAUGAGUAGGGCGGGACACGUGGUAUCCUGUCUGAAUAUGGGGGACCAUCCUCCAAGGCUAAAUACUCCUGACUGACCGAUAGUGAACCAGUACCGUGAGGGAAAGGCGAAAAGAACCCCGGCGAGGGGAGUGAAAAAGAACCUGAAACCGUGUACGUACAAGCAGUGGGAGCACGCUUAGGCGUGUGACUGCGUACCUUUUGUAUAAUGGGUCAGCGACUUAUAUUCUGUAGCAAGGUUAACCGAAUAGGGGAGCCGAAGGGAAACCGAGUCUUAACUGGGCGUUAAGUUGCAGGGUAUAGACCCGAAACCCGGUGAUCUAGCCAUGGGCAGGUUGAAGGUUGGGUAACACUAACUGGAGGACCGAACCGACUAAUGUUGAAAAAUUAGCGGAUGACUUGUGGCUGGGGGUGAAAGGCCAAUCAAACCGGGAGAUAGCUGGUUCUCCCCGAAAGCUAUUUAGGUAGCGCCUCGUGAAUUCAUCUCCGGGGGUAGAGCACUGUUUCGGCAAGGGGGUCAUCCCGACUUACCAACCCGAUGCAAACUGCGAAUACCGGAGAAUGUUAUCACGGGAGACACACGGCGGGUGCUAACGUCCGUCGUGAAGAGGGAAACAACCCAGACCGCCAGCUAAGGUCCCAAAGUCAUGGUUAAGCGGGAAACGAUGUGGGAAGGCCCAGACAGCCAGGAUGUUGGCUUAGAAGCAGCCAUCAUUUAAAGAAAGCGUAAUAGCUCACUGGUCGAGUCGGCCUGCGCGGAAGAUGUAACGGGGCUAAACCAUGCACCGAAGCUGCGGCAGCGACGCUUAUGCGUUGUUGGGUAGGGGAGCGUUCUGUAAGCCUGUGAAGGUGUGCUGUGAGGUAUGCUGGAGGUAUCAGAAGUGCGAAUGCUGACAUAAGUAACGAUAAAGCGGGUGAAAAGCCCGCUCGCCGGAAGACCAAGGGUUCCUGUCCAACGUUAAUCGGGGCAGGGUGAGUCGACCCCUAAGGCGAGGCCGAAAGGCGUAGUCGAUGGGAAACAGGUUAAUAUUCCUGUACUUGGUGUUACUGCGAAGGGGGGACGGAGAAGGCUAUGUUGGCCGGGCGACGGUUGUCCCGGUUUAAGCGUGUAGGCUGGUUUUCCAGGCAAAUCCGGAAAAUCAAGGCCGAGGCGUGAUGACGAGGCACUACGGUGCUGAAGCAACAAAUGCCCUGCUUCCAGGAAAAGCCUCUAAGCAUCAGGUAACAUCAAAUCGUACCCCAAACCGACACAGGUGGUCAGGUAGAGAAUACCAAGGCGCUUGAGAGAACUCGGGUGAAGGAACUAGGCAAAAUGGUGCCGUAACUUCGGGAGAAGGCACGCUGAUACGUAGGUGAAGCGACUUGCUCGUGGAGCUGAAAUCAGUCGAAGAUACCAGCUGGCUGCAACUGUUUAUUAAAAACACAGCACUGUGCAAACACGAAAGUGGACGUAUACGGUGUGACGCCUGCCCGGUGCCGGAAGGUUAAUUGAUGGGGUUAGCGCAAGCGAAGCUCUUGAUCGAAGCCCCGGUAAACGGCGGCCGUAACUAUAACGGUCCUAAGGUAGCGAAAUUCCUUGUCGGGUAAGUUCCGACCUGCACGAAUGGCGUAAUGAUGGCCAGGCUGUCUCCACCCGAGACUCAGUGAAAUUGAACUCGCUGUGAAGAUGCAGUGUACCCGCGGCAAGACGGAAAGACCCCGUGAACCUUUACUAUAGCUUGACACUGAACAUUGAGCCUUGAUGUGUAGGAUAGGUGGGAGGCUUUGAAGUGUGGACGCCAGUCUGCAUGGAGCCGACCUUGAAAUACCACCCUUUAAUGUUUGAUGUUCUAACGUGGACCCGUGAUCCGGGUUGCGGACAGUGUCUGGUGGGUAGUUUGACUGGGGCGGUCUCCUCCUAAAGAGUAACGGAGGAGCACGAAGGUUGGCUAAUCCUGGUCGGACAUCAGGAGGUUAGUGCAAUGGCAUAAGCCAGCUUGACUGCGAGCGUGACGGCGCGAGCAGGUGCGAAAGCAGGUCAUAGUGAUCCGGUGGUUCUGAAUGGAAGGGCCAUCGCUCAACGGAUAAAAGGUACUCCGGGGAUAACAGGCUGAUACCGCCCAAGAGUUCAUAUCGACGGCGGUGUUUGGCACCUCGAUGUCGGCUCAUCACAUCCUGGGGCUGAAGUAGGUCCCAAGGGUAUGGCUGUUCGCCAUUUAAAGUGGUACGCGAGCUGGGUUUAGAACGUCGUGAGACAGUUCGGUCCCUAUCUGCCGUGGGCGCUGGAGAACUGAGGGGGGCUGCUCCUAGUACGAGAGGACCGGAGUGGACGCAUCACUGGUGUUCGGGUUGUCAUGCCAAUGGCACUGCCCGGUAGCUAAAUGCGGAAGAGAUAAGUGCUGAAAGCAUCUAAGCACGAAACUUGCCCCGAGAUGAGUUCUCCCUGACCCUUUAAGGGUCCUGAAGGAACGUUGAAGACGACGACGUUGAUAGGCCGGGUGUGUAAGCGCAGCGAUGCGUUGAGCUAACCGGUACUAAUGAACCGUGAGGCUUAACCUU
Molecule: ribosomal RNA, 2901 nt
Filed under: Shigella flexneri 2747-71
Lineage: Bacteria; Pseudomonadati; Pseudomonadota; Gammaproteobacteria; Enterobacterales; Enterobacteriaceae
Description: bacterial LSU rRNA
Rfam family: Bacterial large subunit ribosomal RNA
Source: RNAcentral